AUUCUGAAGAAGUUCUUGCCGUAUUGUCGGAGCCCCUUAACGAAGCGUUUCUGUGAUAAAAAAGAAACAAGUGAGAUGUAAAAACCAAAACCAAAACAGGAUGUCAGCAAAGCAAAGAUAUCUGCAAUCAGCAGAAAAGCAACCACAGAAAAGUCUGAGCUGGGGAAUAUUAGCCAGGCUGGAGGCUUUCAGCGGCACAGCUGGGACCUGCUGGCAGAGCAGGGCAGCCCCCGGCCUGCGGGGAACCACAAGCAGCGCCCAGCGCCGUGCGUUUCGAGAAAAGCAAUCGGAGCUACGACGGCCUCCGGGAUCCACAAGCUGCAGGAAGGUGCAAACAACAAACAGCCUGCGUUGCAAUAAACCAACAUAGCUGCUUUUCACCCGCGGAAGCAGAUGCCUUCGCAAAAGUGUCUCGGGCCGAUACGGCCCUCUUCCCAACCCCUAACCUCAGAAGCCCACAAGGAGCCGGGAGCCCCGGAGCCGGGAGCCUCUGGGGUCGAGCUCCCAGCCCUCCCGGUCCGCCUGACCCGAAGCAGACUUUCACUUUGCCCGGUUCCACGAGCAGCUCCCACCUCCGAUCCGAGGGAACCUCGCAGCUACAGGGCCAGGCCGCAUGCCCACAGAGAGGAAGAGAAACCCGCGCCGGUUCCUCCCGUCUGCCGUGGCCACUCCGGCCCGCGUGGCUGAGACGUUUGCUCCCAGGCCCCGGUAUCAGCCUGUACUUCGCAAGUGAUCACCACGGAAGCGCCCCAGCCAAUAAAUCAGCUGCCCACUGGGAAGAGAGGCCUCCCACUCUGGGUGUCAGAGACCCGCAGGACAAACACAGAGAAGGGCCAGACCUGGCCUACAAGACCCAUCUACAGCCUCCCACUCUAGUCCUGCAGGCUCUGCGAGUUCUGAGUUCUCCCAGUGCUGGAUAUGACUCAUCACUGUCAAAUUUCAAUAUAACUGAUAUAGUUCAGUGGGAAAAUUCUGAGGCACAAGAAAGCAGUGCACACUCCUUGGGAUGAAGAGCAGACUUCUGGUACUUGACUUCUGUAUCAGUCACGCGAUCAACAGGCAGCCUGAGCUGCACAGAGCACCUCUAUGGAAACUAGAGCAAGAGAAAGCUCAGUCCUCAAGGAGUUCCAAUCAGCCCAGAGAAGCAACUAGGUACAUAUGGAUCUGGGGCCUAUAAAGAAAGCAGCAGAGGAACAAAGGGUGGUAGGUGGGGCUAGGAGGAGGAAGCUAGCUCUGCUUGACUUAGGGGUCAGGACAAGAAAGAGCGCAAGCCUGCCAGGUGGGCGCCAGCUGGGCUCCCAAUUGACCAGGAAGGACAUAGGAACAUUCUGGAAGCUCCAAGGAGGACAAGGCAUGCAGAAGAACUGACUGCUUAUAGAUGAGACUUAGAGGCCUGUGAAGACCAGGUUGCAGAGCUUUGAGAAAUUAAGACCAAUGGCAGACCAGGGGUUGAAGGCGGAGCUUUCCUCGGGAGGCCCAAGUUGUGGAGUAGGAAGAGAGCAGCAGAGGCUGGUGGCACAGCACUGUAGGAGACAAGACCCCGAAUUCACUUUGGUUAAUGUGUCCUGAGGUUCCUGUGCUGUUGCUGGGGAACACCUGCCUGAGCUCUCGGUGCACAGCGGGCUCCACACCCACUGCCGAGCUCUCCUGUCCACCCUGAGACAGCUAGCUGGACCUGGACAAGAAGCUUCAUUCACCAUUAGUCCCACCAAUCAGCAGAGUGGCAGUUUAUGCAUGGCUUGGCGUGGAAAGGGUGGUGAGGUGUAUCUAAUGCAGCAGUAAGAUGGCCGCUCGCUACCUUCAUAGCCACUGCCUCAGGCUCUCCGUGCCAGGGCCUUCCUGAUCACUACAGCCACCAUAGGAGGCAAAGCUUCUAACAGCUCCAUCUCAGAGAUGAGGAAAUUAUAUGGAAUCUAGGUAUCAAAUCCUUGAUUCAGGGUAGGAGGGUCAAAGGUAGCAGACAUAAACAGGGGGAGCCUAGAGACUUGCACGGGGUGCAGACAUUAAAAGCAAUGUACAGGUCAGAGAUAAAGGUUUCUGUUUUAAGAUAAAGUAUUAAAAAUAUCUAUAGGGCUGGAGGGAUGGCUCAGUGGGUAAGAACACUGACUGCUCUUCCAGAGGUCCUGAGUUCAAAUCCCAGUAACCACAUGGUGGCUCACAGCCAUCUGUAAUGAGAUCCAAUGCUCUCUUCUGGUGUGUCUGAAGACAGUAACAGUGUACUUACAUAUAUAAAUAAAUCAUUAAAAAAAAUCUAUAUAUGGGCAGGUAAAGGUAUCUCAUUCUUUAUCCUUGUUUUGGCCACUUAAACAACCUUUGCCUUUUACAUAAAAUUCCUGCACCACUCCCUCCCCCAACAAUAACAAAAGACUCUGAACAUCAAAUUGGAAGUUACAAGACUCAUGAGAGAAAGGUGAGACCUGCAGAUGAUCAAGUGUGCCUGUACCCAUAGAUCACAUGAGCACAUGGCUCCCUCAGAAAUCAUCUGACCUGGGUCAGUAGCAGGGGAAAGAGCAGAAACGUGGGGGUUGGACUUCUGCAUUAGCCACUGGCUGAGAGCUUUCAAAAUUAACUCCCUCUGGUGAAUUUUAACUAGUGUAUCACAGUCAGAAACUCGACAUGACUUCUCUACUUGGUCCUCUUGCAUAACAGUUUAGAAAACACUGUAGGUAUUAAAAUGAGUCCCACUGUGAAAAUGGCCUUCUGCUCUAUCCUGUUUGCUGCACAGAACUUGAUGUUAAUAAUGCAUUGGUUCUCAGGGGACUGAAGAGCAGGCAAAUCUGCAAGUAAGCAGCUUCCAGUCUCCUACUGCCUACCCAGAGACACACAAAAGUGAGCCCUUCAGCUAGGCAGUGGGAAAACUCUACCCUCUGUUUCCUGAAAGGUAGAAAGGCAGGACAAAAGGUGUCUUUAAUUUGACUAAUGAGGGGUCUCAGAUCAGAAAGAGUACUGGCGCAGGGCGAUGGUGGUGCACGCCUUUAAUCCCAGCACUUGGGAGGCAGAGGCAGGCGGAUUUCUGAGUUCAAGGCUAGCCUGGUCUACAGAGUGAGUUC
Long non-coding RNA from Apodemus sylvaticus (European woodmouse), 3050 nucleotides. RefSeq lists it as uncharacterized. The record is from RefSeq and is a predicted model, not a curated record. The transcript is spliced from 3 exons. NCBI's taxonomy places the organism in Eukaryota, Metazoa, Chordata, Mammalia, Rodentia, Muridae.